Molecule: transfer RNA, 72 nt
Filed under: Ornithorhynchus anatinus (platypus)
Lineage: Eukaryota; Metazoa; Chordata; Mammalia; Monotremata; Ornithorhynchidae
Rfam family: tRNA
About the family: Transfer RNA (tRNA) molecules are approximately 80 nucleotides in length. Their secondary structure includes four short double-helical elements and three loops (D, anti-codon, and T loops).
Source: Rfam by way of RNAcentral
AGCAGAGUGGCUCAGCAGAAAGAGCCUGGUCUUGGGAGUCAGAGGUCAUGAGUUCGAAUCCCAGUUCUGCCA